Molecule: ribosomal RNA, 785 nt
Filed under: Enterobacter cloacae
Lineage: Bacteria; Pseudomonadati; Pseudomonadota; Gammaproteobacteria; Enterobacterales; Enterobacteriaceae
Description: partial 16S ribosomal RNA
Rfam family: Bacterial small subunit ribosomal RNA
Source: RNAcentral
UCGGAUGUGAAAUCCCCNGGGCUCAAACCUGGGAACUGCAUUCGAAACUGNCAGGNUAGAGUUUUGUAGAGGGGGGUAGAAUUUCCAGGUGUANNCGGUGAAAUGCGUAGAGAUCUGGAGGAAUACCCGGUGGCGAAGGCGGCCCCCUGGACAAAGACUGACGNNUCAGGUGCGAAAGGCGUGGGGAGCAAACAGGAUUAGAUACCCUGNUAGUCCACGCCGUAAACGAUGUCGACUUGGAGGUUGUGCCCNUGAGGCGUGGCUUCCGGAGCUAACGCGUUAAGUCGACCGCCUGGGGAGUACGGCCGCAAGGUUAAAACUCAAAUGAAUUGANCGGGGGCCCGCACAAGCGGUGGAGCAUGUGNUUUAAUUCGAUGCAACGCGAAGAACCUUACCUACUCUUGACAUCCAGAGAACUUNCCAGAGAUGGNUUGGUGCCUUCGGGAACUCUGAGANCAGGUGCUGCAUGGCUGUCGUCAGCUCGUGUUGUGAAAUGUUGGGUUAAGUCCCGCAACGAGCGCAACCCUUAUCCUUUGUUGCCAGCGGUNNGGCCGGGAACUCAAAGGAGACUGCCAGUGAUAAACUGGAGGAAGGUGGGGAUGACGUCAAGUCAUCAUGGCCCUUACGAGUAGGGCUACACACGUGCUACAAUGGCGCAUACAAAGAGAAGCGACCUCGCGAGAGCAAGCGGACCUCAUAAAGUGCGUCGUAGUCCGGAUUUGGAGUCUGCAACUCGACUCCAUGAAGUCGGGAAUUCGCNNNGUAAUUGGUAGAUCAAGAAUGCU